GAUGAAGAACGUAGCGAAAUGCGAUAAGUAGUGUGAAUUGCAGAAUUCAGUGAAUCAUCGAAUCUUUGAACGCACAUUGCGCCCCUUGGUAUCCCGAGGGGCAUGCCUGUUCGAGCGUCAUUUCACCACUCAAGCCUGGCUUGGUGUUGGGCGACGUCCUCUUUGGGGACGCGCCUCGAAACGCUCGGCGGCGUGGCACCGGCUUUAAGCGUAGCAGGAUCUUUCGCUUUGGAAGUCGGGGCCCCGUCUGCCGGAAGACCUGCUCGCAAGGUUGACCUCGGAUCAGGCAGGGAUACCCGCUGAACUUAAGCAUAUCAAUAAGCGGAGGA
This 329-nucleotide unclassified non-coding RNA is filed under the name soil metagenome. Its description in RNAcentral is "partial contains 5.8S ribosomal RNA, internal transcribed spacer 2, and large subunit ribosomal RNA". The stretch from base 1 to 120 matches the Rfam family "5.8S ribosomal RNA", at positions 35 to 154 of the family's 154-position model. The record is from RNAcentral.